RNAcentral lists this ribosomal RNA (484 nucleotides) under uncultured bacterium. RNAcentral's name for it is "partial 16S ribosomal RNA". It matches the Rfam family "Bacterial small subunit ribosomal RNA", at positions 28 to 523 of the family's 1533-position model. The record is from RNAcentral.
GAUGAACGCUGGCGGCGUGCUUAACACAUGCAAGUCGAACGGUGAAGCAGGAGCUUGCUCUUGUGGAUCAGUGGCGAACGGGUGAGUAACACGUGAGCAACCUGCCCCUGACUCUGGGAUAAGCGCUGGAAACGGCGUCUAAUACUGGAUAUGUGAUGUGACCGCAUGGUCUGCAUCUGGAAAGAAUUUCGGUUGGGGAUGGGCUCGCGGCCUAUCAGCUUGUUGGUGAGGUAAUGGCUCACCAAGGCGCCGACGGGUAGCCGGCCUGAGAGGGUGACCGGACACACUGGGACUGAGACACGGCCCAGACUCCUACGGGAGGCAGCAGUGGGGAAUAUUGCACAAUGGGCGGAAGCCUGAUGCAGCAACGCCGCGUGAGGGAUGACGGCCUUCGGGUUGUAAACCUCUUUUAGCAGGGAAGAAGCGAAAGUGACGGUACCUGCAGAAAAAGCACCGGCUAACUACGUGCCAGCCGCCGCGGUAA